GUGCCAGCAGCCGCGGUAAGACGGAGGGGGCUAGCGUUGUUCGGAAUUACUGGGCGUAAAGCGCACGUAGGCGGCCUUUCAAGUCGGACGUGAAAGCCCCGGGCUUAACCCGGGAAUUGCGUUUGAUACUGUUGGGCUUGAGACCGGGAGAGGAUAGCGGAAUUCCCAGUGUAGAGGUGAAAUGCGCAGAUAUCAGGAGGAACACCAAUGGCGAAGGCAGCUCGCUGGGACGUGACUGACGCUGAGACGCGAAAGCGUGGGGAGCAAACAGGAUUAGAUACCCUGGUAGUCCACGCUGUAAACGAUGCGUGCUAGACGUUGGGCACCCUAGGUCUCCGGUGUCGUCGCUAACGCUUUAAGCACGCCGCCUGGGGAGUACGGCCGCAAGGUUAAAACUCAAAGGAAUUGACGG
This 412-nucleotide ribosomal RNA is filed under the name uncultured bacterium. Its description in RNAcentral is "bacterial SSU rRNA". It matches the Rfam family "Bacterial small subunit ribosomal RNA", at positions 505 to 916 of the family's 1533-position model. The record is from RNAcentral.